RNAcentral lists this ribosomal RNA (297 nucleotides) under Triticum aestivum (bread wheat). Its description in RNAcentral is "partial small subunit ribosomal RNA". Lineage: Eukaryota; Viridiplantae; Streptophyta; Magnoliopsida; Poales; Poaceae. The record is from RNAcentral.
GUUAAUCUUCAUAGGCCCAAUUUCUUAACAGAUAACCAGGUUUUGGCUGAAGCUGCGGCGAGGCGAUGCCCUAAAAAUUACCCUGGCCACUGGACUAUCAGAGAUAGUCUUAAUGCUUUCAUCAAGCACACUAAGGAACUUGAUCCUAGAGUAUUGAAGAUUAAUAGGUCAAGCAAUAAGGGUGCCCAUAGGCAAGCUCAAGAUGGUUACAACAUUCGUAAUGUUGGAGCUUGUAUUUUCACUUGUGUAGGUGUUAGGCACAACAGGGGAUCUUAUCCUGUCAGAGUGUAUCGCUAA